UACGUAGGGUGCGAGCGUUGCCCGGAUUCAUUGGGCGUACAGCGCGCGCAGGCGGCGCGGUGCAUCCCGCGUGAAAUCGCCCGGCUCAACCGGGCGGGGUCGCGGGAGAUGGCCGCGCUGGAGCACGGGAGGGGGCAGUGGAAUUCCCGGUGUAGUGGUGAAAUGCGCAGAUAUCGGGAAGAACACCCGGUGGCGAAGGCGG
RNAcentral lists this ribosomal RNA (202 nucleotides) under uncultured bacterium. Its description in RNAcentral is "partial 16S ribosomal RNA". It matches the Rfam family "Bacterial small subunit ribosomal RNA", at positions 524 to 724 of the family's 1533-position model. The record is from RNAcentral.